GAUCGUGGCCUGUGCUGAAGUCUGAUGCUUAACCCACAGCCACCCAGGUGCCCCAAUAUGUUAGUUUAAAAAAAAAUUUUUUUUAUCCUUUAUUCUACAUUUUGAAACACAAGUUUACCUAAUACAUACGGUAUCUUUUAUUUUUUUAGAAGACCAUUGAAAAUAGUUGAGCAAGAAAUGGGAACGAGGAAGUUGAAGUAUACGGGAAAGACCACACUCAUGUAAGUUUCCCUAAAGUGCUUAGAAACGCAAAUAUUAACAAAGCCAAAGCUUAAAUAUAAUUUUACAGGUAUGAGGUUUACCCACUCUAUCGGUAAAGUUCUUUUCCAAGAAGUAGGGUCCUGUUUUUGUUACGAGGCAGUAAAAUAAAUGAAGUGCAUUCGAUUUGUUCUCUCCACGCUUUCUGCAUUUGGGAUCGAGCGAGCCAGAGGUGAGUACCUCUGCGGAGGGAACUGCAUCAGCUCUGCUAGGCAAGGGCGGUCAAAGACUUGGCAGAAAGAAGUGUGGGUAGGUAAAGGCACGCCGGCUCCCCAGCGAGUGCAAAACGGGCUGCAAUAAAUGCCCAAGAGAUGUCACAAAUGUCACAAACAACGCCGUGACCUUGAAACUGUAUGGGAUUUCCCCAUUUCAAAAUGGCUUCAUGUUUAAUCUUGGGAACCACACGACUGAAGCAUCCACCCUCCCCUACGUUCCCUCGUUCUCAGGACACAGAUUAUUAAGCUGAAGCAACGGGGAGGACCGAGGUUAGUUCACAGAGGUCAAGUCCCAAGCACCGACGGGUCGGCAGGGUGGAGACCGCCCUGACGGCGAACGCCAGGAAGCACUUCACUGCUGCCCGGCGGCUUCUGUCAAGUAUGUUCCCAGCAAUUUAAAGGCGUUUCCUUCUCUCUCUCUAGCUUACUAAGGAUUUUGUUAAAGGCACAUAUUUAUCAAUUGCUAUUUCAGUGUCUACUGAGAUGACCAGAGGGUUUUCUCCUUUAACCUGCUGACAUUAAUUCCUUAGCGAUUUCUUAAGAAGCUGCGGUUUUCUUGCAUUUCCAGGACAACACCCAGCGUGGUCACCGUGCGGCGCGUGGCUCCUUUUGCUGAUGCUUACGCAGGGGUUCUGCCCGUAUUUUCAAGGCCAGGCUAAUCAUCGGGUUUCUUCCGUGCCAUCAGCUGGUCUGGGUGUCAGGAUGAAGCUAGCUUCACGGAAUGAGCGUGGAAGCUGCCACCUUUUUCUAUGCCCUAAAAUCACGGUGGUUGCUGCUUGCUUUCGGCCGUAUUUUUGAAUCAGAAUGACAUGCUCAAGUUCACCAGGUGCAGGCCCUGUUUUAUGCAGAAAACUCCCGGUGACAACAACAGCAAAACAAGCGGCAGGGCCCCAAGCGUCUGUGGAUUAUGAGGAUACGGCUACUUUACUACCAAACGAGGCCUGACAUUCUGACCUGACAAGUUAUGCUUUUCCUCCUAAAAAAAAAAAAAAAAAAAAAAAAAAAAAAAAUGGCCCGUUUCUUCCAUAUUUUUGAUCAGCGUAGACAAGGCUGACCAGUCUCGCCGGCAAAGUGAGCUGAAGGUGAGUUCUACAAAGCUAAUAGUUUGGAGGAGGCUGUGAGGGUGAAGAAGGCCAGGGAGGACCCCAGAGGUGGUCUGGGAUCAGGGAGGAGGCAGACGGCGAGGGAAGAAGCAGGCUGGAGAGCCGGCUAAGUGAGAGGAGAGCGCCCCGGCGAGUUACCAAGACCCUGAAAUAACUGAAGAGUCUGUGACAGCUGAAGGGACAAGAGGGAAGCCGGGAGAGAACACGGACACUUCCAAGGGGCUGUCCAAUUCUCGAAGCAUGCCCAAAGUACAGACUGACUGAUCGUGACUGAGCUGCUGGUACUUAUCUACAGCAUCCCUGCGCUGUGUUUAGCUCCCUACUCAGUACUUGUGCUUGGUCCGGCCAUAAAAUACGUUCCAGACAGUUCAUCCGGAUAAAAGAAAAACAUUAACGUGACUGACCUCUGAAUAAAAAAAUUGAAAAGCAGACGCAUAAAGCGACUGCUAUGGGUGAGGCAGUGUUCUCCGUCCUCUGCAUACACAGAACCACCGGGUCCCCUCAACGCUCCCGCGGAGUAACACUCACAGAGGCGCCGAAGAUUCCGGACACUGCUGAACGCCUAUUGUGUGCCGACCACAUCAGGCACGAGGAACAGCAAGACGAACUGUGAAAAGAGGCGCAGAAGGGAUCUGGGGGACGGCCUCGAAGAGGGGGCAAGAUCUGGGUAGAGCCGCGAGGCAUGAGUAACACGGACAGGGCGGAGACAGGGAGGAAGAGAAGGUCUUGCGGUCAAGGUAACGGAACACUCUAAGGCACAGAGACCGUGAGAGGCACGCAGAAAUCAAGAGGCGCGCGCAGCGCAGGGUCUGGCCAACUACACCUGGGAGCCAAAUCCGGCCCGUGUUUACAAAUGAAGGCUCACCGGAGCACGGCCUGUUGGGCUGAGUUUGGGCUUCGGCUGCCUUCCGCCUCACUGCCGCACGGGCGGGCGGAGGAGUCGUGACCGAGCCCGAGCCACAGACCAUCUGGCCCUUUGCAGAAGUGUGCCGAUGUCUGUUCUGGAGCCUUGCUACUCACAGAGGGGUCUAGGAAGCAGCCGCCGCCGCCCCUGCGGGCCUGGCAGAAACGCAGACCCCCAGGUCCCAGCCCAGAGCCCCAGAAUCAGAACCUGCACCUUAAAAAGACGUCUGGCGAUCUCUGGCACAGACAGCCCUCCGAUCACUGGCGUGUACGGCUGGGAGGUGGCGGCGAGGUUGCAAAUGAAGAGAAGCACCCACUUAUCCUAUAUAUAGACGGAAAACACAGGUAAAGAGCUUCCCGCAAAGGAGGAAUCUGAUGGUAAGGAGGGCUGGCGGCAGAACGGGGGCAAGGCCGCUGGCGUCAGAAUCCAGGCAAAAGAUGACCCGGACCCCCGGACCAGGUCACGGUACGGCUUCUCCUUCCUUCCCAGAAGCAAACGGCAUUUGAAGAGACUACUCCGACUUCGCCAGCGCCCCCAAAUUACUUCUCACAAAUACAGUAUUGGUUAUAACUUAUCAGGAAACAGAAAAACACUCGGUAACGAAAAUAUUCAGCAUCACGUGUUUCUGGGCCUGCCAGACGUAUCUCCGUCUAAGCAACGCAUCCGGAGAGCAAGGCAGAAACGACGACAGUCAUGGUUAAGGAGUUUGAAUUUUUUUUAGCUUUAUUUGAGAGACAGCGCGUGAGAACCGUGUGCGCCUGUGUGCGUGCAAGCACGUGUGUGCGAGUGGGGGAGGGGCAGAGAGAGAGCGAGAGAGACAGAGAGAGAGAGACAGAGAGAGAAUCCCAAGCACGGACAGUGCAGAGCCCAAUGCAAGGCUCAAACUCAAGAACCGUGAGAUCACGACCCGAGCUGACAUCGAGAGCUGGAUGGACGCUUCACCGACGGAGCCACCCGCGGGCCCCAAGAAAGUUUACGGAUCAAAUGAGGAUCGAUUCAGCAGCCAUCUGUGAUGAAGGCUGCUAAUACGUAAUUCACAGGAUAUUGAAGGGUGUAAUGGCUUAAACUGUGAGGACCUUCCCCACCCCCGCAAAUAAACGUAAGAUUCUGCUGGAUAUUCAGUUUUUCCAUCCUAUGGAUGAAUAAGCAAUAUAAAGUUCAAAAGAAACAAAGCAGCAUUUUAGACAAGCAUGCCGACGCUAUUUCUUUUUCUAGCUCUGCUAACGGCUUCCGAGCAAGUGCUUAACGUUCUGCCUUGUUAAAAAAAAUCUAGAAAAGUUUGACAGGGUUAUUUGUGGGCUUCAGCCUGCUUUAAUGUAAUGACAGCGAUAUAGAUAAAAAUAGAUGGGCGAAAACAGGAAAUCCCUUUCCUUAGAUGCUUAGGUUUCAUACUUCAUAUUCAUUAUGUCGGCAGAAACAAUGCAAAAGAAACCAGGCCCGUAGAUCUGCUUUGAGAAACGCAACAUAAUUAAAUCAAUAAAUCUCAAGUAAGAAAAAAAAAAAAACCCGUCAAAUCCAUGUCGAGAAGACUUUCCAUGUUAAGGUUUGUUAAUAAAAGCCUAAAAAGUCCAUGAAUUCGGUAUAAUGGUUAAUGGCAUUAAAAAAAAAAAUAGUAACUAACAUGUCCACAGUACUUACUAUGGGUUUACACCGUCCUAAAUACCAUCACACAAAUUAUCUCAUCUAAUCCUCAAAACACCCUGGUAUUAGCUUCAUCUCACAAACGGGGAAAGUAAGGCAGAUGGAGGACCUCAGUGAUUUGUCCCAAGUCACAUGGCUACACGAGAAAUGGAGCUGAGAUGUGAAGCUGGGUCUAUGUCCUUAACCAUAACCGUGCUGUCUUUCUAACGCAUGUGGUCUCCACUUUCCCCUGGCCCACAAGUGAAUCUGCAAAAAGUUUAAACGCAAUAGACUCUUAUUACUGGUAUCAGGGACAGAGAAAACCCCUACGAUACAGACACUCAACAUCUUAACGGAAAGGGAGGCACACCGUAUUGUUCUGUGGACAGUGGCCAAAAUUUGACCCGGGACAGGCAACUGAUGAGUAAUGAGGAGGACUCGAUUUAAGAUACUGGAUUAUUUUUCAGUAGGAGAAAAUGCAAAUUAGGUCCCAGUAAGAUUCUGAAAUGUAUCACGUAACUGCUCGUUAAGAAUAAAUAUGGAUGCAGACUUCUAAUGAUAAUUACUACGCGUGCAUUAUCUUCUAGCAACGUGCUUGUGAAAUGCUGCAGGGAAGCUAAAACAUAAAAUGAAUGCAGGUACAGGCCUAAUACUAUCUGGCUGACAUUCUCAUGUUGGCCGUGCACGCUUAUUUAAGUCAUUGCCUGGCUGUAAAUGAACAAAAGUAUUAAAGUAAAGUUGGCACACGGCACAGCAUCCACAUGGCACAUUCUUUGUUCCAGGAGCUUUAUUCCAUGAAUACUCCUGGGGCAAAGAGAAGUCACUAAAUAAAUAACGCAAGCACACGAGAUAGCGUGGAGUUCUUUCAAAUUAAAUUCCUCAAACUGUCAAGCAUCUCGUACAAAGUUCUUUUCCGACUCUGAGCUCGCCAUAUUCCAUCUCAAAUACUAAUUCUGGCAAAGAACAAGCUUUGCGCCCUUUGCAUUUUAACAGUUUCAAAAUAAAAUCCAGGUGAAAGCUCAUCGCA
Molecule: long non-coding RNA, 5127 nt
Organism: Felis catus (domestic cat)
Lineage: Eukaryota; Metazoa; Chordata; Mammalia; Carnivora; Felidae
Exons: 2
Source: RefSeq, a predicted model, not a curated record